Molecule: ribosomal RNA, 253 nt
Filed under: uncultured bacterium
Lineage: Bacteria
Description: partial 16S ribosomal RNA
Rfam family: Bacterial small subunit ribosomal RNA
Source: RNAcentral
UACGUAGGGGGCAAGCGUUGUCCGGAUUUAUUGGGCGUAAAGAGCGUGUAGGCGGCCUGAAAGGUCAGCUGUGAAAACUCGGGGCUCAACUCCGAGCUUGCAUUCGAUACGGGCAGGCUAGAGUUCGGUAGGGGAGACUGGAAUUCCUGGUGUAGCGGUGAAAUGCGCAGAUAUCGGGAGGAACACCUAUUGCGAAGGCAGCUCGCUGGGACGUCACUGACGCUGAGACGCGAAAGCGUGGGGAGCAAACAGG